This 253-nucleotide ribosomal RNA is filed under the name uncultured bacterium. Its description in RNAcentral is "partial 16S ribosomal RNA". It matches the Rfam family "Bacterial small subunit ribosomal RNA", at positions 524 to 776 of the family's 1533-position model. The record is from RNAcentral.
UACGAAGGGGGCUAGCGUUGUUCGGAAUUACUGGGCGUAAAGCGUGUGUAGGUGGUUGUUCAAGUUGGAUGUGAAAGCCUUGGGCUUAACCCAAGAAAUGCAUUCAGGACUGAGCGACUAGAGGACCGGAGAGGAUAGUGGAAUUCCCAGUGUAGUGGUGAAAUACGUAGAGAUUGGGAAGAACACCAGUGGCGAAGGCGGCUAUCUGGACGGUUUCUGACACUAAGACUCGAAAGCGUGGGGAGCAAACAGG